Gallus gallus (chicken) is the source of this 6301-nucleotide long non-coding RNA. RefSeq lists it as uncharacterized. The transcript is spliced from 3 exons. NCBI's taxonomy places the organism in Eukaryota, Metazoa, Chordata, Aves, Galliformes, Phasianidae. The record is from RefSeq and is a predicted model, not a curated record.
AGUCAUGCUUGGGACAUUCCCUGCUCUCACCAUCUCAGCUGCUACAUAACCUGCUGGGCAGGGGGAAGCAGAGCUGUCCUAAAACCCUGAGCUGAAAGAUGAUGCAGGUGUGAGCAGACACUUCCCACAGACAGUAUGCACAGCAAGAGUUCAAAAAACAUCAACUCUGCAGAAGAAAGUCAAAAAACCCCACUGCUUUGGGCAUGGAAGACUGAACUGGACAAAACAGGAACAGCUCCUCCAGGCACUGACCACAGCCUGUAGUUAGAGGAAAGUGGACAAAAAACGUUUCAGGCUCAAUUCAUCAAACUCCAUCAGGCUCUUUCUUGCAAGGGCAAUACUAACAGGGAGCCAGCAACAGCAGUCCUGGGAGUUUGAUACACUGUCCAUGAAGCUCCAGCCUAUUAGCACUGACGUAUCACUAGUCUUUUGGACUAGAAAUCUACCUUUGCAACUCGCACUCAUGACAGAGGUGAUGAAACAUGAGUAGCUUGGGGAGUCAAGACUUUUUUUAACAUUCUUAUUUUAAAAUCUUUUUUUUUUUUUCCUUUUUUUUCUCCUAUCAAAGUCAACACAUUGAUGCCUUCUGCAGGUGACUCUGACCAGUGUGGGAUGUUCUGUUUUCAUUCAAACCCCACAACUCUCCACUGUGGGGUCCUAUACUUGGGGUUAGCCAAUGCGCUUUUGCCUUUCAUAAAUGGAAACAAAUACACAAGAUGGCAGAAGGUAGCAAGUCAGGUCCCUAUCUGUGCCCCUGUUUGAACAUCUGAUAUCCUCCACCUCCAUCAUCACGAGGGUUUAUUUUUGCCAUUAGAUUACUUCUAUUUAGCACGGAAAACUGAGUGCACACAUUUGGCUAUAUGCAAACAGUCUGAGCAAACUAGAAUGUGGAAGAAAGGUGUCACCCUGAGUGCUAUAAAAGGAAUUUUUGGCACAUGAAUCCACGCAGUGAUCUGAUUCUCUGAAACACAAUCCAUGCUAUGGCUCACAUUCCCCUUGUGGAUUAUAUCAGCGAAGAAGCUGGUCCCAACACUUUUAUGAUAGCAUAACAUCAGCGUCUGGAUAUUGGUGGAACUAUCACGAGUACUAUGAUAAUAGCAAUGACUCAAAUGUAUUUAAUAUUGUUAAAAUGGGCUUGUUUCUCCACUGUCUCUCACAGUGGCUUGGAAGAGAAGUUAGGGCACAGGCGGAGAAGAUAGCUACAGAUAUUUGGUACUGAGCUGUCAAGCUCUUGAUCGUAUCAGAACUACCCCAAACAAAGAGUUAAUUCAGCAGAAGAUAAAGGAUGUACAAAUUAAUUUCAAAUUAUUCUCUUAUACACAUCUUACUACAGGGAAGUGAUGGGCAGCUGGCUGUUCUCACCCCUAAGCAGAAGGAAUUCUCUACUGGGUAGUUGUCAGCUCCAAGGUCAUUUUGUACUCUCACAUGACUUAAGAGACCAGAGAAUCAGACUUGCUGGGUUCUAUUCAGCUAACAAAUAUUAGAUAUUCUGCUUUCAUUAAUAGUAUCCUUUUGAACCUGUGAAGAUUCAUUUAAUGAGCGAGACUCUAUUUAGGUACUCAUGUCUGUCCAAGAACCCAGCUGAAAUUAAAGGAUCACACUUGUCUUCAGCUGCUAUCAUAAAAUCAUUACAGAACAUUGUAUAAUUACACCCUUCAUGCAAUUUCAUUUUAAAACACAUCCUGGCCUAGCUGCUCUUGACUAAACUUGAGAUGAGCGGGCAGAGUCGUGUGGGAUGAUACACCAAAAUUAGACAAAUGAGUGCAGGUUAGGCUGGAGGUAGAGGCUGUGAGAUUCAGGACCAAAUGCUCAGGCAGGAGCUACAGCUUCAGUUUGAAACAGCAGGGACAGAGCUGCAAGGAGGAAGUUUGCGGAGUACCUGAGAGCGCUGUGGCUGCCCACAGCUGGCACUCCCAGCCUUUCCUGUCCACCAGACACAUCGAAAUAUCUUGAGAAAAACAAGAAGGAAAACAAUUGCUGACUGUAGUGUGAAUAAUAAAAGCCUGGCUUUCCUCUUGGAACUUUACUGCUGCUCUUAAACCACCCCAGCUUCACUCUCAGGGUCCAGGAUGUCAGCACAGCUCCUCCAGUGGAUUAAUGCCUUGUAUCCACCCUAGAGCCAUCUAUGACAGCCCUUUAUAUGCUGUAUUGUAAGUCUGGGGUGGGUUUCUCAGUCAGAAGAUCAGCAUUGCCUCUCUACUCCAGAUAGCUGGUUUCUGUAUGAUAUCAUUCCAGCAAGAGCGAAAAAAAAACAGAGGUUGAAAAUAAAGCUGUGCAUGGGAUGUACUGAGCUGCCAGGAGUACAGUCCUUUGUUCUGCUGGCAGCAGGAACAGGUAGAGCAUACAUUAGAAACAUUGACAGACAGAUCCGAGAUCCUAUGGUAGAACAAAAAAGUUUUCUUAACCUCUAAUAGAUAGUGUGACUGUAAGAGCUGACUCAAAGACAAAGGCUGAAUAAGUUCUGGCUGAAACUCCAUGCAUUUCAGUUCCCUAUAAUGAAUUUGUCCCUACAACACAGUGCAAUUAUUCUUUCAAUACCAGGAUCUCUCACAUGUCCAGAGCAUUCCUACUGAUAUCAGCCUUCACUUACUGUGUAUUUUGGUUAUUUAUAUUUGGUUAUUUAGCACUACUGAGAGAAGAUGAAAAAAGAUACAGAAACCUUACCCAGUCCUUUUUGUAACUGCAAUCAAUUCUUCAAAGGCUGGUGUGCUGCCCCUCUACCAAGUACUACAGUACAGUCUUUACCUUCCCUCCUCUUUUUGCCACUGUCAGAAGGGCAGCUCAUAAACCAGCUUUGCUCUAGACUGUAUCUUAGGGGUACCAGCUAUGUGAAAAGACGCCCUUCUCCCAAGCCAGUGCAGUUUGCAUUCCCAUGGUUUUUACUCACUGUGGUUUUGGAAUACAAGAAUGAAAUCACCGGGGCUGUCACUCCAGGGCUUUUCAUCAGGAUGAAAACUACUUAAAAAUAGGCACAAAGGGAAAAGAAAAUAUAUAUUCCUUGCUGAUUUAUCUAUUAAUGCUGGAGAGCAGUUAUAUCUCUGAUGUUUUGGAGAAGGAUCAGACACCUUCAUAGUCAAACAGCACCAUCCAACAUAUGGCAGUAGAUGAAGGUUGCCUUUUGCUUCUCACAUUCACUCUGAAUCCUUCUAAAUCAUUCCUGCCAACACAAUAUGGUCCCUGAGGAUCAUUAACAUUCUUCAGAAGAGCAAAUCUCUCACUUAUAUAAUAGGUUAGGUUGCAUGGAAUAACAGGUAUGAAAAGCUCCCUCAGGGAAGACACCUGCAGAGUCUGUUCCUUGACCUUCAUUCAGCUCUGCUGCACCUACAGAUGGCUGCUGUUUGACUCAGCACUGCAUGAGCAGUACACGCUCAGAGUAUGUCCCAGGAACAAAACACUGUCCAGUGAUGCUACCUUCCAAUUUUGUUUAAAUGAAAAGCAUUCCUGUUUAAAGUCAUUAUCAACUGCAUACAUUCCUCCACUCGCUCUGUGAAUAUGUGUAUCUCAAAGUGCAAAAUUUCUAAACAGAGAUUGCUGGAGGAAGUGUCAUUCCAUAAGAGUCCCUCAAAAGACUACAAAUGCAUUAAAAAUACUCUGUUAAUGAACUGAGGUCCUAUCAGCACAGCCUGUAGCACACUGUAGCUCACGUUACUGGUACAAAUACAACCAUUUCUUUUGACUGCAGUAGGCAACCUAAUUUGAUGUAAUUCAGCUAAAUGUAAAUGGAGUCAACAUAAAACUUCCACAACACUCUUACACCUAAAUUUCUCUUGGAUUUCCUAAGCAAACAUACAUAGUACUUCCCCAGACAACACACAUAGAUAGACUUCCCAACAAGUAAUAACCAUCCAGCCGCUGUGAGGUCUUCCGCAGCUGCUCACCCUGAAACUCUGUCACUGUUGACCCAAUAAGUUUUCCUAACGCUGCAAAGCUCAUUCAACUCACUAUAAAAUAUUAUUUCAAUGUACGGAUAUGGGAUUCAGAUGUUCUUUAAGGACAAACAGAAAGGAAGAGGCAGAUUAAGAAGAUCUAGCAUUUAUCAGGUCUAAUGUUUACAUGCUGCAGAGAGGAAAAGUAUGCUAUUGAUCCCAGUAUAGUAGCUGUCCUCACAUCCUUCAAGACGCAUCUGCUCAGUGUAUCAGGCACUCUUGUUAUCCUGGGAGACUCAGAGGCUGACUUGACAACGAAGUGGAGAAAGGCCACUUGAAAUCUUUUUCUUCUCCUUGGACAAUAUGGUGGUGCUCUCAGAAAAAAACAAAUCUUCACACUUCACAAUGUAUCUCCCCAGCAUCGUCUACUUAUUAAUAAGCAUUUAUUUUACACUGGAAAGAUGAAAAGAUGUUCUCACUUUGUUCUAUCCAGUAAGUUUUUCUUCAGUCAAUGGAUAGCUGGGGCUUUUCCUACGCUGCAUGUAUGCACUGGAAAAUGUUGAUUCAGUAGCUCUUCUUCUAAUUCAUAGUUCAACUUCCACCAGCUGAUAAAACUUCUAUGCUUAGUUGUGUUCGGAGAAAAGGAGAGAGCCUGGCAACAGCAGAGAUCUAUGCAAUGGCUGACUUGUAUGGAAUUCCUGGGACUGAAGGUUUGAGCCCCAAAAUGCAGAAGCUCACAGGAAAAACAAGAAGUUUGGAGCAAGAAAAUUUAGAAGCUGAGACAUAGAAGGGUGUCUGUCACUGUGGUAGGGAAAUUCAUGGAAACUGAAAGCAAAGUGGGAGGUUCUGCUUUGGUAUGAAGCAGACGACAGUAGAUGAGUAUGGCAGCUGGACUGAUAACGUGUAUUUCAUCAAGACUGCAUCUUCUUGUGAACGGCAACAAGAAGUUGUUUUCAGACACAACCAAAUCAGAGAAAGAAAGUAAACCCACGUGACAUUCAACUGGGCUGACAGAAAACAGGACCAGCACACUUGACGUGAGACACAGGAGCACACGGUCCUCACUAGCAGUUAGAAGAGAACUCCACUUGAAGUGGUCAUUCUUUGCUCAGUUUCAAUCACCUUGAAUCAGGAAUCCCAGCUGUUCUGGCUCUGCAUUCAUUCUUGAACUCCCUACUUUUGAGUUAAGGCCGAGUAGUAUUUUGGGAGUGCGAAAAACUAAUUUUUCCCCAAAGUCCCAUCUGAAGUAAUGGCAUAAUACCUGGCUCAUUCUUUCAGCCCCACCAAACACUGACUGCCAGGAGAACAGCCUAUUUCUGUCAUUCCUAACAAAAUAUAGUUAGCUUUUAAAUACAUAGCCUUCUCUUUACUUCGUCUAACUGCUUCUUUUUGGUGCAGAUCUCUGUAAUAUCUCUUGGUUUUUGCCAGCUAUGGUCCUCUCCCUGAGAGCAACUUGCUUCUUAGAGCAUUUUAAAGCUGGACAAUUUCCCAAGUCCUUCCAGAUCUAACUUGAUCCUUUUUCCUGGCGGCCUGUACUGAAGGACAAAGCACCCACCUGCAAGGUAGGGUCCUGGUUUUAGCCUUGUCUCUGAAAAACCUGACUUCUCUGUAAUUGCUGAGAGUCACUUAAGACACCUUUAUAGAAUAAAUCAGUAUACUUCUGGUGAAUGAUAAGCCUGGAAGAGAGAAAUACUAUCUCCCUGUGCUAAGAUGGUCAAAACCACCAUAUGAAUAAGCUGAUAAUAGACCUAAAUAACAGCAACGUAACAGCAAAUGAGCUAGUUCUUACCUCCCUGACAGAAAUGCGUGUCCCUCUGCUGGAGUACCACUAUGCAAGCAGCUGGGUGGGCACUGGGAAUAUGCAAAGGCUUUGAAGUGGGAGGCUGAGCAGCCAGUGAUGGAUAAAGAUGAGCAAAGAGGGAAGAAAAGUUCUGGAGAAUCCAGAAGAAUGAAUCUGGUACAUACAGUAGAACUCUAGUGACAGCCCGUUUUGGAGGUCUUGCUCAUUCAUCUGUGGAGAUCUGAUCAAGACCAAUUUGGAUGGCCACUCUGUUCCAAAGCGGUACCGCUGUGGAGUGACAGUGAAGAGGCUGGGGCAAAGAGAGGAAGCAGGAACAUCUUAAAGUAUCAUAAGAAAAGCUAAUUGAUUCAUCUUUGGAAAAACAGUAAUCAUUAAUCUGAUUUCCACCAAACUCUGGGGAAAAAUUAAAAAUAUAUCACGGUAUUUUCUUUUUUUCUUUUUUUUUUUAAAAAAAGGGACACAUACCAUGUUCAUAGCCCUUGUCACAGUGUUAUAAAGUGAGGCUCUCACUGGCAGAUUACUCUCUGCCUAACGGGACAGGAUCACAUCUGUGAACUUGCCUGUGAUUGUGUAUGUGAUGGUCGGUACUAUACAAAAUGAGAACCAAUGGUUAAAUGAAUAAAGCACUGAACUG